AAAUUGAAGAGUUUGAUCAUGGCUCAGAUUGAACGCUGGCGGCAGGCCUAACACAUGCAAGUCGAACGGUAACAGGAAGCAGCUUGCUGCUUUGCUGACGAGUGGCGGACGGGUGAGUAAUGUCUGGGAAACUGCCUGAUGGAGGGGGAUAACUACUGGAAACGGUGGCUAAUACCGCAUAACGUCGCAAGACCAAAGAGGGGGACCUUCGGGCCUCUUGCCAUCAGAUGUGCCCAGAUGGGAUUAGCUUGUUGGUGAGGUAACGGCUCACCAAGGCGA
RNAcentral lists this ribosomal RNA (279 nucleotides) under Salmonella enterica. RNAcentral describes it as "partial 16S ribosomal RNA". It matches the Rfam family "Bacterial small subunit ribosomal RNA", at positions 1 to 276 of the family's 1533-position model. Lineage: Bacteria; Pseudomonadati; Pseudomonadota; Gammaproteobacteria; Enterobacterales; Enterobacteriaceae. The record is from RNAcentral. RNAcentral also lists the same sequence under 3 other names.